Molecule: long non-coding RNA, 4202 nt
Filed under: Sus scrofa (pig)
Lineage: Eukaryota; Metazoa; Chordata; Mammalia; Artiodactyla; Suidae
Description: lncRNA (ENSSSCG00000062794.1)
Source: RNAcentral
AUAAUUCAAAGGUAUUCUUGCUAUGCUCCAGGUGAAAGUGUACCCUCUUUGAGGAGGAGAACUUCUAAGCCUGCAGAGCCUAGAGUCACAGGGAUGAGAAGUGCCAAGUCCUCUAGCAUGUCAGUAGGAGUGAAGCAGGUAGGACCAUUCCUGCUUCCACCCUCGGUCCCUGGACCUAUGCAUUCUUCCUGUUGAGGACAUAGGACCAUAUAGAAGUCUUUGAUUCAAUGCAUAUAGUGGAAGAUGACCUCCCAUCCUCAUGGAGUGUUUCCUCCAAGAACUCUAGGGAGCUGGCUGCUUCUGGGUAGUGUGUAUGUGAUAUGACCAGUAGAUCCUAUGGUUGUGGGCCCAUCUUCUCACCUCCCUUACUGUAAUGUGAAUGCUCUGGUUUGAAGUGAUAUUAUAUAGGAUUCUAUCCAGUAGAGCAAACACUCCAUAACCCACCCCUUGCAGAGUAGUGCUGGCUGAGGUCCUACCAGCAGAAAGGGCAAACAUACAUCUAAAGUAUGCAUCCAUUCCUGUGACAAGGAACUACUGGCUCUUCCAAGACAAAAGGGACUCAAUAUAGUCAACUUCUCACCAAGUGACUAAUUGGUGUCCUUGAGCAAUGGUGCCAUAUUGCAAGCUCAGCAUCAGUCUCUCUUGCUGGUAUGUUGGCUAUUCAGCAACAGAUCAGCCUUGACAAAUACAGUUCAUGCUGUUGGGCUCACAUGUAGCCUCCAUCUCUGCCGCUCUGGCCACUUCAUUCUCAUGCUCUUUGUUACAGCAUUGGAGCGGCUGUUGACAGAGGGCUGAAGUCGGCUGGCAGCUGUCUGCCCGACCAUUUAAUGUCCAUCCAUGGUGGGUGCUAUCUGAUGAGUGUUAACAUGUGAUACAAAGAUUUUCAUACUUUGUGUUCACUCUUAUACAUUUAUCUGCACGCCUCUACUCUAUAGGCAACUAUAAUGAAUAUCGACUUUAAUUAAGAGUGGUCGGUGAGUGCCAUUUAAUUUGAGAACUGUAGGGGAGAAGGAGCCAACCAUGGGGGAAACAAGAGGAAGAGUGUUUCAGGCAAAGCAGACAAUGUGUGCAAAAUUCUGUGGUUUAAGGGGACACGGCCAAGAGAGAAGGACAGUGCGGAGAACACAGCAGGAGAGGGAGGGUGACGCAAGGUGAGGUGGACGUGGAAAGCCACUGAGCAUGGGGGUGAAAUAAUGAGAUUUACAUUUUCUAAAGCUCUUUCUGACCCUCCUGUGGUGGGUGGAUUGGAAGGAAGCCAAGGAUGAUGCUCGGAGAGUAGUAAGAGGCGGUUUUAAUAGCCUGUGAAAGAUAAUACUGGCCUGGAUUAAAAAGGUGGCAAAGAGGAAGUUAGAAAUGCACGAUUCCAAAUCUAUUUUGGAGGUCCAGUCGACAUGUUCUACUGAAGGCAAAUUUUAAUAGCAAGAUAAAUGCAUAUUUUCCUAAGUACAAAAUAAAAUGCCACUUGAUCGAAGUCCAUCUCCCCACAUAAUGACAGGAAGGAUGAAUUAGAUUUUUAUAGCUAUCAUAAAACCCAUGCUCUUUACUUGAUUGGCAAGAGAGCAUAUUUACCAAGUAAUAUAUAUAAACGUAAGUCCGUCUGGUUUCUCUCAGUUUUGUUCUGGGUUAUAACUGGUGAAGAAGGAAAUAGACAAGACUCAAGGAAACAGUGAAGCUUCUCAGAUACAGAUCCUGGAAGAAAUGGCAGCAGGGAAGACAAAUGGGCACAGAGUUAGAAAUCAGUAAACUGAUGAAAGAGGCCAAAACUCCAACUGUAAGCUGAGGCUCAAAGAGGCCUUUUCAUCUGCACCGGCCCUGGGGACAUCGCUGAUCCAGCCAGUAAAAUAAUACACGUUCGUGGUAAAGGACUUGAACGGUCAGAGAGCAGUUCAUCUUCUCUACCGUAUUUACUAAGCAAAUGCAGUUCAAAUCCAUUUUCGUUUUAAACUAUUCUCAAAGGGUGACCAGCAGCUAUCUGCAAAGUUUUAUCCAGUGCACACGUUAUUCUGCAACACUGCAGAAUAAACAAGAUGUCUAUUUUAAGCCCCACAAUGAAUUGGUCCCUGGCACCACAGACAGCCGCUUAAGAAGAAAUAAAAAAUGAAAACGUGUGGCAGGAGUCUGUCCCUGACCUUAAGGACCACACAGCUCCCAAGGCCUGUGGAGACUGGCGGGAACACGGCUCAGGAUUUUUCAAAUCUCCUUACUCCAAAUCUCCAAAGCCUUAAAGCUAAAAACUUUCCUCCCUGUGAAAACCCAGGUUCAAACACAGCCUGGUUCCCUGAAGCACCAUGGCUUUUUUUUUUUUCUUCACAGUAGAGCUGAGCCAAGAGUAACUUCCAGUCCAUUAUGAACUUGCUCUGCAAGUGGAGGAAGACGAGCUCAUUUGAGAGCUGGGGAGUGACCCUUAUAGGGUCUCUGGGGACCCAGUAUCAGUGGCGCUCACUGUUUCCUCUUCCCUGGAUGCAACAAUAUAUUAAGAGAGAGAGAAAAAAAAGGAGGUUGGCUCUUUUCAUGAUUUUCCUUUUUAAUUUUUGUUGAAAAUGGAACUGUGUUCUCUUGAUCCUUCAAACAAAUGGAGGGGAAGUGGAAGCCCAAGAGUUUCUCUUAGGUUCCCCGGAGAGGGUGUAUGUGUUUGUACUAUGAUGUGGGAAAAGUCCUUGUGUAUCUGCUGCAUUGUCAUGUCGUACCAGAGUGAUUUGCAAUAGGAAGUGUGGGAUGAAUACUGUUUCUAUGUAAGAGAAAGUGAUGGAGCCAUAGUCUUUGAAUCAAAGAUCUCAAUGUGCCCUUCAUCUCCAAGACAGGCUUCCCCUGACCUCCACCCCCAUCUGUAUUAGAUGAUGAAAGAAACACGAGAAUACUCUCUGAACUUGACCUAAACAAUAAGUGCAGCCAGAAAUCCUUGCUUUUCAGAAGGCAGUGGGGCAGGGAGGGGGCGAGGGGGAGGGUGAUUGAAAGGACACGCUGGAGAUCACAGAGGCAACGUGAAAGGGGAUCAUAAAAGUUUCUGGCAUUGCACCUGAAGAAUUAUUUUAAACCGAUACUUGAAAUAUGCAUUGUGAGUCUCUUCACUCGCAGAUCUUAAUCAACAAAUGGCCUUUGGAAGGAAAGCAGCGUGAUACAUUAAGAGCCAUCUAAAGGGGUCACGAGGAUACUUCUUUCAUUUUAGCGAUUCAUCAUAUUGAGCAGGCUGGCAAAUGAUUGUGUUUCUUCUUCUAGAAAGUAGGAAUAAUGGAACUGGUCUCCAAGCAGUGUCAGAUGAGAGAAUAGGUGAGGUAGAGUCUAUUAAUCAUGCUGGCCUUACAGACACAAUAGCUGUGUCAUUUGCCAUCGUUGAAGGGCAGCUUCCCUUCCAACCUGGAGCGAGUCUAGCAAAGAAAUCAGCUCCACUUAGAGCGGCAGGUUAUCCAAGUCAGAAAAGUACUUGAUAUCCUCAGCUGCGGUUUUGCAAGACUGUAUAUAUAGAAUUGGGUCAGCUACAUCCUCUCACUCUUUAAACACCAACUGAAAAUAAAAGAAGUAUGAAAUCCCAAGCAGUAGCCAUCUUUACAGGAAGAAAAAGCAAAAAAAUCAAAGCAAGGUUAUCCAGAGCCUUAAAAACAGUUAAUGACAAUGUCAGCCUCCCAGGGGACAUUUGAUUAACAAAUCAUCAAAUAUGAUGAUGCAUCUCUAGGAAGCAAGCACUGCAGACAGGGUCUAAUCCCUCAGAAGUCACUCUGAGCACCUAUCUGAAGAACAUAGGUGACUUUGUGAAUUUCAAAGGGUUUGUCUUUCCAAAAGCUCUGUGAGCCUCCAGGACACUAAUCCUCUUAACUUCCUGCAGGGACACUUCACUUUUGAUCUCAGGUUUAUCUAAUCAAAUGCUUCUCCAUAAUCAGACUGUUUGCUUUCUGAGCCAAGGGCUGGGCCACCAUCACACCACCUCCAGCAGGUUUUUAGAAGGACUCGAGAUUGGAUAUGGCCACUAUCUCUGCUUCUCCUUGGAAGACUUUAAGAAAGGUAUAAAAUAGAUCCAUGAACUUACCAGGAAAACCCUUCAAAGGGGGACCUGUACAAAAUACUGCUAGUCAAAAUCAUGCAUCUUUCCAUUAUGGUUAAAAUUCUUUGGGGAAGAAGGGAGCCCCCAGAAUAGAGGUGUGAGGAUUCCAGUGAAACCUCACCCCCAGAGAGACAUUAAACUGGUAAACAUUUGUAAAGACAACUAU